UACGUAGGUGGCUAGCGUUGUCCGGAUUUACUGGGCGUAAAGAGCGCGCAGGCGGUCGUUCAAGUCGAGUGUGAAAGCCCCCGGCUCAACUGGGGAGGGUCACUCGAUACUGAUCGACUUGAAGGCGGGAGAGGGAAGCGGAAUUCCCGGUGUAGUGGUGAAAUGCGUAGAUAUCGGGAGGAACACCAGUGGCGAAGGCGGCUUGCCAGAAUGCGCUCGACGGUGAGGGAUGAAAGCUGGGGGAGCAAACCGG
This 253-nucleotide ribosomal RNA is filed under the name uncultured bacterium. RNAcentral's name for it is "partial 16S ribosomal RNA". It matches the Rfam family "Bacterial small subunit ribosomal RNA", at positions 524 to 776 of the family's 1533-position model. The record is from RNAcentral.